GACGAACGCUGGCGGCGUGCCUAAUACAUGCAAGUGGGACGCAAGGGAACACACUGUGCUUGCACACCGUGUUUUCUUGAGUCGCGAACGGGUGAGUAACGCGUAGGUAACCUGCCUAUUAGCGGGGGAUAACUAUUGGAAACGAUAGCUAAUACCGCAUAAUAUUAAUUAUUGCAUGAUAAUUGAUUGAAAGAUGCAAGCGCAUCACUAGUAGAUGGACCUGCGUUGUAUUAGCUAGUUGGUAAGGUAAGAGCUUACCAAGGCGACGAUACAUAGCCGACCUGAGAGGGUGAUCGGCCACACUGGGACUGAGACACGGCCCAGACUCCUACGGGAGGCAGCAGUAGGGAAUCUUCGGCAAUGGACGAAAGUCUGACCGAGCAACGCCGCGUGAGUGAAGAAGGUUUUCGGAUCGUAAAGCUCUGUUGUAAGUCAAGAACGUG
Molecule: ribosomal RNA, 443 nt
Filed under: Streptococcus mutans
Lineage: Bacteria; Bacillati; Bacillota; Bacilli; Lactobacillales; Streptococcaceae
Description: bacterial SSU rRNA
Rfam family: Bacterial small subunit ribosomal RNA
Source: RNAcentral